GCCUUCGUGGUGUAGGGGUCAGCACGCUCGACGCGUAACUCAGAGGUCCGUGGUUCGAUUCCCGGCGAAGGCG
Molecule: non-coding RNA, 73 nt
Organism: Stegodyphus mimosarum
Lineage: Eukaryota; Metazoa; Arthropoda; Arachnida; Araneae; Eresidae
Source: Rfam